RNAcentral lists this ribosomal RNA (465 nucleotides) under uncultured bacterium. RNAcentral describes it as "partial 16S ribosomal RNA". It matches the Rfam family "Bacterial small subunit ribosomal RNA", at positions 28 to 507 of the family's 1533-position model. The record is from RNAcentral.
GACGAACGCUGGCGGCGUGCUUAACACAUGCAAGUCGAACGGAAAGGCCCUGCUUGCCGGGUACUCGAGUGGCGAACGGGUGAGUAACACGUGGGUGAUCUGCCCUGCACUUCGGGAUAAGCCUGGGAAACUGGGUCUAAUACCGGAUAGGAGCCAUUUUUAGUGUGAUGGUUGGAAAGUUUUUUCGGUGUAGGAUGAGCUCGCGGCCUAUCAGCUUGUCGGUGGGGUAAUGGCCUACCAAGGCGGCGACGGGUAGCCGGCCUGAGAGGGUGGACGGCCACAUUGGGACUGAGAUACGGCCCAGACUCCUACGGGAGGCAGCAGUGGGGAAGAUUGCACAAUGGGCGCAAGCCUGAUGCAGCGACGCCGCGUGGGGGAUGACGGCCUUCGGGUUGGAAACUCCGUUCGCUAGGGACGAAGCUUUUUGUGACGGUACCUAGAUAAGAAGCACCGGCUAACUACGUG